CAUAAUCUUCCUUUCUUCCCAGAACCACCACCGAAAAACCUUCCCAGAACCCCAUCUUGGUCGCUGUCAUCAUCUUCAUUCAAAUCUCAGUAAUUGCCCAUGCUACCACCACUGAGUGGCUCUCAAUCGCUGGUAUUCAGUCAAUUUGAUUCAUGGAAACAACACAUGCAACAUCUCAAUGAUUUGAUAUCUCAAUUAGAAGAACUUUAAUUCAGGAAAUUAGGGUUUUUAGAUUUAAUUGAGGGUUGAAGAAAUUGAGGAUGAGUUAGUGAUGGGUAUUAUGAAUUGAAAGCAGAGAAGAAGAUUUAACAACUACUUCUCAAUUCGCCAUGAGGAAUCGAAGAAUCUAGGGUUCGUGAAUUCGGAUUGAAGAUGGAAACAUGAUCCUGAUGGUGAGUAACUAAAGGAAGAAGACAACUUCUGAAUUUGUAUUUGAGGAACAAAUUAGAUUUAGGGUUAUUGUAUUGGUGAUCUUCAAUUUACGAAUCAAGGGUGUUGAUCAGUUAAUGUGUUGAAGUAAUUCUGGUGAUGAAUUGAAGAACAGGGGUUGGCUCUGUUCUUGAGGAUUUUGGAGUCGGGUAUUGUGUUAUUAUUAGAAUUCAUGUUCUUGCUAUAAAAUCA
This is a long non-coding RNA of Papaver somniferum (opium poppy), 621 nucleotides long. RefSeq lists it as uncharacterized. The transcript is spliced from 2 exons. Lineage: Eukaryota; Viridiplantae; Streptophyta; Magnoliopsida; Ranunculales; Papaveraceae. The record is from RefSeq and is a predicted model, not a curated record.